UUAAGUCAAAUUUGUAUGCAUUUGAAACGGCGCCCCUAGCGGCAAACGUAGGCAUACGUUCCAACUCCAUACAAAUAUGAGUUA
Molecule: microRNA precursor, 84 nt
Filed under: Bombyx mori (domestic silkworm)
Lineage: Eukaryota; Metazoa; Arthropoda; Insecta; Lepidoptera; Bombycidae
Description: mir-2807 microRNA precursor family
Rfam family: mir-2807 microRNA precursor family
Source: Rfam by way of RNAcentral